Molecule: long non-coding RNA, 707 nt
Filed under: Mus pahari (shrew mouse)
Lineage: Eukaryota; Metazoa; Chordata; Mammalia; Rodentia; Muridae
Description: lncRNA (MGP_PahariEiJ_G0005136.1)
Source: RNAcentral
AUUUCAGAGGCGGGAAGAGAACGUCGUUGUCGUCGUUGUCAUCAUCAUCAUCAUAACUGCUGAGUGACCCACCGCGGGUAAACUCCCUUGUCAGCCUUGUGAGAUGCACAACUCCUCUGGACCUUAGACAUAUCCUUUGUCCAGUGCUUUUAAAAAAAAUACAUUUAACACUUCAUGAAAAACUGGCUUAAAGACACGCACCACUACCACGGCCUGGCACUUUUGGGUAAUAUUCAUUUGCCAUGCCUCAAUUCAUGAAGAAACAUCGCUUGGCUAUAAAAUCCCAGCUGGUGGCAGCUGUAAUUGUGGUAAAAGCCAGUCUCAACAGAAGUGCACAAAGGGAGCAGAAUCAGACAAUGGGUGUAAUUGGAACCACAGGACCUCAGAGGCAAUGCAGACUGGACACUUCAGAGCUCCUUGCAGUCUCUGGGUUGGAUCUGGCCACAAUGCCUAGCGCAGAAUACCUUACAACACUCUCUAGGUGUCUGAUGUUUGACGGGGAUGCCAUUUCUCUUUGCCUCAGUGGCAAUUCACAGACAUGAUUUUGUUGAUAAUCCCCAAACCCACAGGGACUGGAGCUCAUGAUCCUGUCAGAAGCUUCGAGUGUUUGCCACUGAAUAAACAUGAACGCUUACACCAUUUGCAUGAAUAAAAUAUAUGAUGGGAUAUUUUUAUCUAUAAACACAAUAAACAGGGUUGAGUUGUGU